AUUGAACGCUGGCGGCAUGCUUUACACAUGCAAGUCGAACGGUAACAGGCCGCAAGGUGCUGACGAGUGGCGAACGGGUGAGUAAUGCAUCGGAACGUGCCCAGUCGUGGGGGAUAACGCAGCGAAAGCUGCGCUAAUACCGCAUACGAUCUCUGGAUGAAAGCGGGGGACCGAAAGGCCUCGCGCGAUUGGAGCGGCCGAUGUCAGAUGAGGUAGUUGGUGGGGUAAAGGCCCACCAAGCCAACGAUCUGUAGCUGGUCUGAGAGGACGACCAGCCACACUGGGACUGAGACACGGCCCAGACUCCUACGGGAGGCAGCAGUGGGGGAUUUUGGACAAUGGGCGCAAGCCUGAUCCAGCAAUGCCGCGUGCAGGAAGAAGGCCUUCGGGUUGUAAACUGCUUUUGUACGGAACGAAACGGUCCGGGUUAAUACCCUGGGCUAAUGACGGUACCGUAAGAAUAAGCACCGGCUAACUACGUGCCAGCAGCCGCCGUAA
This 498-nucleotide ribosomal RNA is filed under the name uncultured bacterium. Its description in RNAcentral is "partial 16S ribosomal RNA". It matches the Rfam family "Bacterial small subunit ribosomal RNA", at positions 29 to 523 of the family's 1533-position model. The record is from RNAcentral.